This 1196-nucleotide long non-coding RNA is filed under the name Homo sapiens (human). RNAcentral's name for it is "long intergenic non-protein coding RNA 1727". Lineage: Eukaryota; Metazoa; Chordata; Mammalia; Primates; Hominidae. The record is from RNAcentral.
AGGGCUGGUGCUCUCGUUCAGAUAGAUUUAGCUGGUGGUGCAGAGAUCCGUGAGCUUGCUUUUACAGGACUUUAAUGAUAUAUAAAAGCAGCACGAGGUGCUCCUGACUGUGGAUUAAUUUGGAGAUGACUUUCUCUGUUGAAGAGUAGCAAGACUCUCGCGAGUUCUUAAAAAUGCACUUGUUUGGUAUGAGAAUGAAAAGCAGUGGCUGAAGAACCAAUCUUCAAUGGGCAAGCCUUCUCUGUGUCUGUUCUAACACGUGCCAUUUGGGAUCCCUUGGAAUCUUCAUGUACAGAACUGGUUGCUGCCUCGUUGAGUCGGUGGGGACAGAAUAGCUCCUGGUUGACAGCAUGGGUUGUGCAGAAGGACGGAUCCUGCAGACAUCAAUAUCUGGCUUUGAGUGGCACAAAGAAAUAAAGGAAUGUGGAUUCAGACCUCACUGGGAUGCUUGGCAAUUCUAAUUCUACCCCAGACUGCAAAUGGACACACAACUGUUGUGACUUUUGUUGAAGAGGAGAAGGAUGGUGAAGGUCUCUUUAGUCAAUAAUCUCUUUGCUGAAAUUGCUUCGGGCAGCACAGAAGCUGGAUUCAGAAGCACACAGGUCUGGGGAUGCAGGCUUCGGCCAGCCUGAUGCAAGGAAAGACUGCCAUCUCGUGGUCAGCUCAAUCCUGGCACCUUGGUGAGGGACCAGGCUGCAGAAAACCAGGCUUGGGGAGGAAACGGUGCUGCAAACUGGAUUUCUGCCGGACAGUGUGGAUGCCCUUAGAAAACACCCAGAAAAGAGCUGAGUGCCCCCCAAGACUUGCCCUGAAUUCUUUCAUGUGCAAUAUCCGAAAACCCUCUCUUGGGGCCUGGAUCAGGACCCCUUUCCUAUAACAUCUUUCUGGCGACAACAAAGGGACAAUGGUGUGGAAUCCCCCUUCCCAAAUGCUACUUUUAGGUAAGUAUUGGGGUCCUGUAACAUAUUUCUGGCAAACCAUGGAAUGGACAAUACUGAAGAAACUCGCCAACCCAAAGGAUAUAGACUGUAGCAAUGAUUGGACGACUCUGAGCAAGUGGUGGGGUACCUGGGUAAAGAAUCGGAUGGGAUUAGAGGCCCAACUGGGGGAGUUAGAGUCUCUCCCAAGCCAGAGUGGGUUAGAGGCCCCUCUUAGUGAAAGGCAAGGACGCUUGACCCACCUUGGGUUAUAGGCCC